Lynx canadensis (Canada lynx) is the source of this 107-nucleotide small nuclear RNA. NCBI's taxonomy places the organism in Eukaryota, Metazoa, Chordata, Mammalia, Carnivora, Felidae. The record is from Ensembl.
GUGCUUGCUUUGGUAGCACAUAUACUAAAAUUGGAACGACACAGAGAAGAUUAGCACUGCCCCUGCACAAGGAUGACACACAAAUUUGUGAAGCUUCCAUAUUUAAA